RNAcentral lists this long non-coding RNA (3134 nucleotides) under Volvox carteri. RNAcentral's name for it is "long non-coding RNA (VCAR_LNC003620)". Lineage: Eukaryota; Viridiplantae; Chlorophyta; Chlorophyceae; Chlamydomonadales; Volvocaceae. The record is from RNAcentral.
UAAGAAGGGCCAGUGGUAAACGUAGUUAGAGCAGGGCAGGUGGGAAAGGAAGGUGGGCAGGUGUCACACAGCGCGCCUGGCUACUGCACUAGUAGAAUGCCGCGGGUGGUGACACGUCAGCGCCACGGCUACUAGGAUAGUGGACACAGCGCGCCUGGCUACUGCACUAGUAGAAUGCUGCGAGUGGUGACCCGUAAGCGCCGCGGCUACUAGCUUAGUGGACACAGCGCGCCUGGCUACUGCACUAGUAGAAUGCCGCGGGUGGUGACAUGUCAGCGCCGCGGCUACUUGCUUUGUGGACACAGCGCGCCUGGCUACUGCACUAGUAGAAUGCCGCGGGUGGUGACACGUCAGCGCCGCGGUACUAGGAUAGUGGGCACACUGCGCCUGGCUACUGCACUAGUAGAAUGCCGCGGGUGGUGAAUGUGAGCGCCGGGUACUAGGUUACUGGACACAGCGCGCCUGGCUACUGCACUAGUAGAAUGCCGCGGGUGGUGACACGUCAGCGCCGCGGCUACUAGGAUAGUGGACACAGCGCGCCUGGCUACUGCACUAGUAGAAUGCCGCGGGUGGUCACAUGUCAGCGCCGCGGCUACUAGCUUAGUGGACACAGCGCGCCUGGCUACUGCACUAGUAGAAUGCCGCGGGUGGUCACAUGUCAGCGCCGCGGCUACUAGCUUAGUGGACACAGCGCGCCUGGCUACUGCACUAGUAGAAUGCCGCGGGUGGUGACAUGUCAGCGCCGCGGCUACUACCUUACUGGACACAGUGCGCCUGGCUACGGCACUAGUAGAAUGCCGCGGGUGGUCACAUGUCAGCUCCACGGCUACUAGGAUACUGGACACAGUGCGCCUGGCUACGGCACUAGUAGAAUGCCGCGGGUGGUCACAUGUCAGCUCCACGGCUACUAGGAUAGUGGACACAGCGCGCCUGGCUACUGCACUAGCAGAAUGCCGCGGGUGGUGACAUGUGAGCGCCGCGGUACUAGGAUAGUGGACACAGUGCGCCUGGCUACUGCACUAGUAGAAUGCCGCGGGUGGUGACAUGUCAGCGCCGCGGCUACUAGCAUAGUGGGCACAGCGCGCCUGGCUACUGCACUAGUAGAAUGCCGCGGGUGGUGACAUGUGAGCGCCGCGGCUACUAGCAUAGUGGACACAGCGCGCCUGGCUACUGCACUAGUAGAAUGCCGCGGGUGGUGACAUGUCAGCGCCGCGGCUACUACCUUAGUGGACACAGCGCGCCUGGCUACUGCACUAGUAGAAUGCCGCGGGUGGUGCCAUGUCAGCGCCGCGGCUACUACCAUAGUGGGCACACUGCGCCUGGCUACUGCACUAGUAGAAUGCCGCGGGUGGUGACAUGUGAGCGCCGCGGUACUAGGAUAGUGGACACAGCGCCCCUGGCUACUGCACUAGUAGAAUGCCGCGGGUGGUGACAUGUGAGCGCCGCGGCUACUAGCUUACUGGACACAGCGCGCCUGGCUACUGCACUAGUAGAAUGCCGCGGGUGGUCACAUGUGAGCGCCGCGGCUACUACCUUACUGGACACAGUGCGCCUGGCUACUGCACUAGUAGAAUGCCGCGGGUGGUGACAUGUCAGCGCCACGGCUACUAGGAUAGUGGACACAGCGCGCCUGGCUACUGCACUAGUAGAAUGCCGCGGGUGGUGACAUGUGAGCGCCGCGGCUACUACCUUACUGGACACAGCGCGCCUGGCUACUGCACUAGUAGAAUGCCGCGGGUGGUGACACGUCAGCGCCACGGCUACUAGGAUAGUGGACACAGCGCGCCUGGCUACUACACUAGUAGAAUGCCGCGGGUGGUCACAUGUCAGCUCCACGGCUACUAGGAUAGUGGACACAGCGCGCCUGGCUACUGCACUAGUAGAAUGCCGCGGGUGGUGACACGUCAGCGCCGCGGUACUAGGUUAGUGGACACAGCGCGCCUGGCUACUGCACUAGUAGAAUGCCGCGGGUGGUGACACGUCAGCGCCGCGGCUACUAGCUUACUGGACACAGCGCGCCUGGCUACUGCACUAGUAGAAUGCCGCGGGUGGUGACACGUCAGCGCCGCGGCUACUAGGAUAGUGGACACAGCGCGCCUGGCUACUACACUAGUAGAAUGCCGCGGGUGGUGACACGUCAGCGCCGCGGCUACUAGGAUAGUGGACACAGCGCGCCUGGCUACUGCACUAGCACAAUGCCGCGGGUGGUGACACGUCAGCGCCACGGCUACUAGGAUAGUGGACACAGCGCGCCUGGCUACUGCACUAAUAGAAUGCCGCGGGUGGUGACACGUCAGCGCCGCGGCUGCUAGCUUAGUUGACACAGCGCGCCUGGCUACUGCACUAGUAGAAUGCUGCGGGUGGUGACACGUCAGCUCCACGGCUACUAGGAUAGUGGACACAGCGCGCCUGGCUACUGCACUAGUAGAAUGCCGCGGGUGGUGACACGUCAGCGCCGCGGCUGCUAGCUUGUGGACACAGCGCGCCUGGCUACUGCACUAGUAGAAUGCCGCGGGUGGUGACACGUCAGCGCCGCGGCUGCUAGGAUAGUGGACACAGCGCGCCUGGCUACUACACUAGUAGAAUGCCGCGGGUGGUGACACGUCAGCGCCGCGGCUACUACCUUAGUGGACACAGCGCGCCUGGCUACUGCACUAGUAGAAUGCCGCGGGUGGUCACAUGUCAGCGCCGCGGCUACUAGCUUAGUGGACACAGCGCGCCUGGCUACUGCACUAGUAGAAUGCCGCGGGUGGUGACACGUCAGCGCCACGGCUACUAGCAUAGUGGACACAGCGCGCCUGGCUACUACACUAGUAGAAUGCCGCGGGUGGUGACAUGUCAGCGCCGCGGCUGCUAGCUUAGUGGACAUAGCGCGCCUGGCUACUGCACUAGUAGAAUGCCGCGGGUGGUGACAUGUGAGCGCCGCGGCUACUACCUUACUGGACACAGUGCGCCUGGCUACUGCACUAGUAGAAUGCCGCGGGUGGUCACAUGUCAGCUCCACGGCUACUAGGAUAGUGGACACAGCGAGCCUGGCUACUGCACUAGUAGAAUGUUGCGGGUGGUGACACGUCAGCGCCACGGUACUAGGAUAGUGGACACAGCGCGCCUGGCUACUACACUAGUAGAAUGCN